RNAcentral lists this ribosomal RNA (451 nucleotides) under uncultured bacterium. RNAcentral's name for it is "partial 16S ribosomal RNA". It matches the Rfam family "Bacterial small subunit ribosomal RNA", at positions 29 to 526 of the family's 1533-position model. The record is from RNAcentral.
AACGAACGCUGGCGGCAGGCCUAACACAUGCAAGUCGAACGCGUGUAGCAAUACACGAGUGGCGCACGGGUGAGUAACGCGUGGAUAUCUGCCUUUUGGUUCGGAAUAACUCCGGGAAACUGGAGCUAAUACCGGAUGGUUCCUUCGGGAUAAAGAUUUAUCGCCAAAAGAUGAGUCCGCGUACGAUUAGCUAGUUGGUGAGGUAAUGGCUCACCAAGGCGACGAUCGUUAGCUGGGCUGAGAGGACGAUCAGCCACACUGGGACUGAGACACGGCCCAGACUCCUACGGGAGGCAGCAGUGGGGAAUAUUGGACAAUGGGGGCAACCCUGAUCCAGCCAUGCCGCGUGAGUGAUGAAGGCCUUCGGGUUGUAAAGCUCUUUUGGCGGGGACGAUGAUGACGGUACCCGCAGAAUAAGCCCCGGCUAACUUCGUGCCAGCCGCCGUAAUAC